AGCAGCGUGGCUUAGUGGAAAGAGCCCGGGCUUGGGAGUCAGAGGUCGUGGGUUCUAAUCCCACUUCUGCCA
This 72-nucleotide transfer RNA is filed under the name Ornithorhynchus anatinus (platypus). It matches the Rfam family "tRNA". From Rfam's summary of the family: Transfer RNA (tRNA) molecules are approximately 80 nucleotides in length. Their secondary structure includes four short double-helical elements and three loops (D, anti-codon, and T loops). The record is from Rfam by way of RNAcentral. Lineage: Eukaryota; Metazoa; Chordata; Mammalia; Monotremata; Ornithorhynchidae.